AAACCGGAUUGCGGGCCCCGCCCCGGACCCCGAGCUCCCGGUCGCUCAUCCUGUUGCUCAGAUGUACUGCCCUCACUUAGGGAAUCGUCAUCCCCUUCAUCUGGGUCAUCCUCAUCUUCACCCCCACUUCCCUAGAGGACAAGGAGAGAAGUCUCAUUGAAAUGCAGGACAAAUCAGUUACUGGACCACAAGAUCAUCUUCCAUUGACCAGAGAUCUGAAUCAAAAAGACCUGCAGUUUCACAGAGGAGAAGAUAAGCAAUGAGUGGCAGCAGGUGUUGUUAUGACAUGCUCCUGCCUCCUGCCCAGCACACUCUCACCCUGACGUCUGCAUAGCUGGCUCUCCUGCUUCCUUUGGGUUGUUACCUGUCAGAAGGGACUUCCCCAGCCACUCGUAUGAACAGCACCCCCCUGCUAGCCUUCCUCACUCUCCUACUUUGCUUACUUCGCUUCAUCUUCCUCCAUGGUACUUCUAUUUGUUCACUUGUUUAUUAUCUGUCUCCCACAUUAAGAUGUAAACUCAAUGAGGACAAGAAUUUUUUUCUUUACAUUUGUAACCCAGUGCUAGGACAGUGACAGCAUACAGUGGACCCAUAAUAAAUACCUGCAGAUUGUAUAAACAUCACAUUAGAUGCAACAGUUAAUUUAUAUAUACACUGUACAUAAAAGUUGGCAAACUAGGGCCUGUAAGCCAAAUGUGCCCCAUGGCCUGUUUUGGUAUGGCGCACAAGCUAAAAAAUGGUGCUUACAUUUUCAAAAGUGUUCUUUUAAAAAAUUAAAAUAAAACAAAACAAAAAGAAUAUGCAAAAGAGAUCAUAUGACUCACAGCCUAAAAUAUUAUUAUCUGGCCCUUUACAGAAAAAGUCUGUGUACCUCUGCUAUAUCUGAACGUCUGCAAAAUAAGAACCUUCCAGGAUACGAGAUAUGGUCAGCUGCUGGAG
Molecule: long non-coding RNA, 939 nt
Organism: Hippopotamus amphibius kiboko
Lineage: Eukaryota; Metazoa; Chordata; Mammalia; Artiodactyla; Hippopotamidae
Exons: 3
Source: RefSeq, a predicted model, not a curated record